Molecule: ribosomal RNA, 460 nt
Filed under: uncultured bacterium
Lineage: Bacteria
Description: partial 16S ribosomal RNA
Rfam family: Bacterial small subunit ribosomal RNA
Source: RNAcentral
CCUACGGGUGGCAGCAGUGAGGAAUAUUGGUCAAUGGGCGCGAGCCUGAACCAGCCAAGUAGCGUGAAGGAUGACUGCCCUACGGGUUGUAAACUUCUUUUAUAAAGGAAUAAAGUGAGGCACGGGUGCCUUUUUGCAUGUACUGUAUGAAUAAGGAUCGGCAAACGCCGUGCCAGCAGCCGCGGUAAUACGGAGGAUCCGCGCGUUCUCCGGAGUUAUUGGGUUUAAAGGGAGCGUAGAUGGGUUGUUAAGUCAGUUGUGAAAGUUUGCGGCUCAACCGUAAAAUUGCAAUUGAUACUGGCAGUCUUGAGUACAGUUGAGGUAGGCGGAAUUCGUGGUGUAGCGGUGAAAUGCUUAGAUAUCACGAAGAACCCCGAUUGCGAAGGCAGCUUACUAAACUGUGACUGACAUUGAUGCUCGAAAGUGUGGGUAUCAAACAGGAUUAGAUACCCUUGUAGUC